UACAGGGGGUGCAAACGUUGCUCGGAAUCAUUGGGCGUAAAGCGCACGUAGGCGGUCUGUUAUGUCGGAUGUGAAAGCCCUUGGCUUAACUGAGGAAGUGCAUCCGAAACUGGCAGGCUAGAGUACUAAAGAGGGUCGCGGAAUUCCCGGUGUAGAGGUGAAAUUCGUAGAUAUCGGGAGGAACACCAGUGGCGAAGGCGGCGACCUGGGCCAAUAUUGACGCUGAGGUGCGAAAAGCGUGGGGAGCAAACAGG
RNAcentral lists this ribosomal RNA (254 nucleotides) under uncultured bacterium. RNAcentral's name for it is "partial 16S ribosomal RNA". It matches the Rfam family "Bacterial small subunit ribosomal RNA", at positions 524 to 776 of the family's 1533-position model. The record is from RNAcentral.